RNAcentral lists this ribosomal RNA (291 nucleotides) under Triticum aestivum (bread wheat). RNAcentral's name for it is "partial small subunit ribosomal RNA". Lineage: Eukaryota; Viridiplantae; Streptophyta; Magnoliopsida; Poales; Poaceae. The record is from RNAcentral.
AUGCAGCUCUGGACCCUGGAGGGCGCGAAGGACGCGCUGGGCGACGCGGUCAUCAUCGACCGUCUCGACAGCCGUACGUUCGAGCGCGCGGACACGAAGCUGUUCGCCGUCUGGGUGUGGGUGUGGCAGCUGCACCACAUCCCCACCAAGCGAACCCUGUGGAAGCACGCCAGAGGUGCCGGCCGGGUGGAGGAGAUGAUCGGCUUCUCGCCCCCUAGCCGGGCUGUCGCGCCGCCGCCGAACCUGCUGCGCUGGGAUGUGCUGGUGCACAUUGACCGGGUCGAAGACUGG